This 24-nucleotide non-coding RNA is filed under the name Mus musculus (house mouse). Lineage: Eukaryota; Metazoa; Chordata; Mammalia; Rodentia; Muridae. The record is from RNAcentral.
AAUUCAGUGAGGAGUCUGACCCCU